This 246-nucleotide ribosomal RNA is filed under the name uncultured bacterium. Its description in RNAcentral is "partial 16S ribosomal RNA". It matches the Rfam family "Bacterial small subunit ribosomal RNA", at positions 116 to 353 of the family's 1533-position model. The record is from RNAcentral.
CGUAAUCAACCUACCCAUCAGAGGGGGAUAACACUUGGAAACAGGUGCUAAUACCGCAUAACAGUUUAUGCCGCAUGGCAUAAGAGUGAAAGGCGCUUUCGGGUGUCGCUGAUGGAUGGACCCGCGGUGCAUUAGCUAGUUGGUGAGGUAACGGCUCACCAAGGCCACGAUGCAUAGCCGACCUGAGAGGGUGAUCGGCCACACUGGGACUGAGACACGGCCCAGACUCCUACGGGAGGCAGCAUG